CCAGGAUGUAAUAUGAUGGUCACUCACUGCUGGUUCCUUCUUCAGUCAAUAAAAGCCGAUAUCUCGCCUUACAUCUCAGUUGGCAAAAAUCAUAUCAUCUGCUUUAUGGAUGAAAUCCUCAUUUCAGAUCUUAAAACAACAGAGCAUCUGCCAACUCUGGCGAAGGUCAUGUCCAGAAUGCAGUGACAUGGAAUUAAAUGCUAAUAUCUGUGAAGAUCAGUGGAACAUCCAAGCCACUGAACUGAUGCACAGUCACACAGCUACUCGUCUUCUACAACGUCAGGGUGACUACUUCCCUGUGACUCUGAUUGAUAUUCAUCUUACUCUUCCGUAUAAGCUGCUGCUCCAGGUUCCCGCCACAGUCUUCAAGGAGC
Hypanus sabinus (Atlantic stingray) is the source of this 374-nucleotide long non-coding RNA. RefSeq lists it as uncharacterized. The transcript is spliced from 3 exons. The record is from RefSeq and is a predicted model, not a curated record. Lineage: Eukaryota; Metazoa; Chordata; Chondrichthyes; Myliobatiformes; Dasyatidae.